RNAcentral lists this ribosomal RNA (482 nucleotides) under uncultured bacterium. Its description in RNAcentral is "partial 16S ribosomal RNA". It matches the Rfam family "Bacterial small subunit ribosomal RNA", at positions 30 to 507 of the family's 1533-position model. The record is from RNAcentral.
AUUGAACGCUGGCGGCAUGCUUUACACAUGCAAGUCGAACGGUAACAGGCCGCAAGGUGCUGACGAGUGGCGAACGGGUGAGUAAUGCAUCGGAACGUGCCCAGUCGUGGGGGAUAACUACUCGAAAGGGUAGCUAAUACCGCAUACGAUCUAUGGAUGAAAGCGGGGGACCGUAAGGCCUCGCGCGAUUGGAGCGGCCGAUGUCAGAUUAGGUAGUUGGUGGGGUAAAGGCUCACCAAGCCAACGAUCUGUAGCUGGUCUGAGAGGACGACCAGCCACACUGGGACUGAGACACGGCCCAGACUCCUACGGGAGGCAGCAGUGGGGAAUUUUGGACAAUGGGCGCAAGCCUGAUCCAGCAAUGCCGCGUGCAGGAAGAAGGCCUUCGGGUUGUAAACUGCUUUUGUACGGAACGAAACGGCUCUGGUUAAUACCCGGGGCUAAUGACGGUACCGUAAGAAUAAGCACCGGCUAACUACGUG